GUGCUUAUGGUGUAGUGGUUAUCACAUCUGUCUAACACACAGAAGGUCCUAGGUUCGAGCCCUGGUCAGCACA
This 73-nucleotide transfer RNA is filed under the name Penaeus chinensis. RNAcentral describes it as "tRNA-Val". It matches the Rfam family "tRNA". Rfam says of the family: Transfer RNA (tRNA) molecules are approximately 80 nucleotides in length. Their secondary structure includes four short double-helical elements and three loops (D, anti-codon, and T loops). Further hydrogen bonds mediate the characteristic L-shaped molecular structure. tRNAs have two regions of fundamental functional importance: the anti-codon, which is responsible for specific mRNA codon recognition, and the 3' end, to which the tRNAs corresponding amino acid is attached (by aminoacyl-tRNA synthetases). tRNAs cope with the degeneracy of the genetic code in two manners: having more than one tRNA (with a specific anti-codon) for a particular amino acid; and 'wobble' base-pairing, i.e. permitting non-standard base-pairing at the 3rd anti-codon position. The record is from RNAcentral. Lineage: Eukaryota; Metazoa; Arthropoda; Malacostraca; Decapoda; Penaeidae.